Molecule: non-coding RNA, 312 nt
Organism: Plectropomus leopardus (leopard coralgrouper)
Lineage: Eukaryota; Metazoa; Chordata; Actinopteri; Perciformes; Serranidae
Source: RefSeq, a predicted model, not a curated record
AUAUCAAGUGGUGGUGGAGGAGGAGCGCCCCCGCAGGCAGAGGAGAGGUACUGCAGAGAUCCUGCGCUGUUACCCCGUGCCCAUCCACUUCCAGAACGCCACGCUGCUCAACUCCCAGUAUUACUUCAGCGCCGAGCUGCCGAUGAGCGAGCUGAGGGCGCCAAUGCCCUUCUGCAUCGGUGAUAACAGGACCUACAGCGGUUACUGGAACGCUCCUCUGCUGCCUCAUAAGAGUUAUGGGAUCUACUACCAGGCUGUGAGCACUGCUAACGGGGAAACAAAGAUCGACUGCGUGCGGGUGGCCACUAAAGG